This 516-nucleotide ribosomal RNA is filed under the name uncultured eubacterium WR151. RNAcentral's name for it is "bacterial SSU rRNA". It matches the Rfam family "Bacterial small subunit ribosomal RNA", at positions 9 to 527 of the family's 1533-position model. The record is from RNAcentral.
GAGUUUGAUCCUGGCUCAGAUUGAACGCUGGCGGCAUGCCUUACACAUGCAAGUCGAACGGUAACAGGUUAAGCUGACGAGUGGCGAACGGGUGAGUAAUACAUCGGAACGUGCCCGAUCGUGGGGGAUAACGCAGCGAAAGCUGUGCUAAUACCGCAUACGAUCUACGGAUGAAAGCAGGGGAUCGCAAGACCUUGCGCGGACGGAGCGGCCGAUGGCAGAUUAGGUAGUUGGUGAGGUAAAGGCUCACCAAGCCUUCGAUCUGUAGCUGGUCUGAGAGGACGACCAGCCACACUGGGACUGAGACACGGCCCAGACUCCUACGGGAGGCAGCAGUGGGGAAUUUUGGACAAUGGGCGCAAGCCUGAUCCAGCCAUGCCGCGUGCAGGAUGAAGGCCCUCGGGUUGUAAACUGCUUUUGUACGGAACGAAAAGGUUCUCUCUAAUACAGGGGGCUCAUGACGGUACCGUAAGAAUAAGCACCGGCUAACUACGUGCCAGCAGCCGCGGUAAUACG